UACAGAGGGUGCGAGCGUUAAUCGGAAUUACUGGGCGUAAAGCGCACGUAGGCGGCUUGGUAUGUCGGGUGUGAAAUCCCCGGGCUUAACCUGGGAAUGGCAUUUGGGACUGCAAGGCUUGAGUGCGGCAGAGGAGACUAGAAUUCCUGGUGUAGCAGUGAAAUGCGUAGAUAUCAGGAGGAAUACCGAUGGCGAAGGCAGGUCUCUGGGCUGACACUGACGCUCAUGCACGAAAGCGUGGGGAGCAAACAGG
RNAcentral lists this ribosomal RNA (253 nucleotides) under uncultured bacterium. Its description in RNAcentral is "partial 16S ribosomal RNA". It matches the Rfam family "Bacterial small subunit ribosomal RNA", at positions 524 to 776 of the family's 1533-position model. The record is from RNAcentral.